GCAGAUGUGGCUUAGUGGGAGAGUGCUUGCCUACUAAGCAUAAGACCCUGGGUUCCAUCCCCAGCACUGCA
Molecule: transfer RNA, 71 nt
Filed under: Heterocephalus glaber (naked mole-rat)
Lineage: Eukaryota; Metazoa; Chordata; Mammalia; Rodentia; Bathyergidae
Rfam family: tRNA
About the family: Transfer RNA (tRNA) molecules are approximately 80 nucleotides in length.
Source: Rfam by way of RNAcentral